Molecule: ribosomal RNA, 468 nt
Filed under: uncultured bacterium
Lineage: Bacteria
Description: partial 16S ribosomal RNA
Rfam family: Bacterial small subunit ribosomal RNA
Source: RNAcentral
GACGAACGCUGGCGGCGUGCUUAACACAUGCAAGUCGAACGGAAAGGCCCUGCUUUUGUGGGGUGCUCGAGUGGCGAACGGGUGAGUAACACGUGAGUAACCUGCCCUUGACUUUGGGAUAACUUCAGGAAACUGGGGCUAAUACCGGAUAGGAGCUCCUGCUGCAUGGUGGGGGUUGGAAAGUUUCGGCGGUUGGGGAUGGACUCGCGGCUUAUCAGCUUGUUGGUGGGGUAGUGGCUUACCAAGGCUUUGACGGGUAGCCGGCCUGAGAGGGUGACCGGCCACGUUAGGACUGAGAUACGGCCCAGACUCGUACGGGAGGCAGCAGUGGAGAAUAUUGCACAAUGGGAGGAAGCCUGAUGCAGCAACGCCGCGUGCGGGAUGACGGCCUUCGGGUUGUAAACCGCUGUCGCCUGUGACGAAGCGUGAGUGACGGUAAUGGGUAAAGAAGCACCGGCUAACUACGUG